ACUCAAAUGAAUUGACGGGGGCCCGCACAAGCGGUGGAGCAUGUGGUUUAAUUCGACGCAACGCGAAGAACCUUACCUGGGCUUGAACUGCUAGGGACCGGUGCAGAGAUGUGCCUUUUCGCAAGAACCGUAGCAGAGGUGCUGCAUGGCUGUCGUCAGCUCGUGUCGUGAGAUGUUGGGUUAAGUCCCGCAACGAGCGCAACCCUUACCUGUAGUUGCCAGCGAGUCAUGUCGGGAACUCUACAGGGACUGCCCGGGUUAACCGGGAGGAAGGUGGGGAUGAUGUCAAGUCCUCAUGGCCCUUAUGUCCAGGGCUACACACGUGCUACAAUGGGUGGUACAAACCGUUGCGAAGUCGCGAGAUGGAGCUAAUCGGAGAAAGCCAUCCUCAGUUCGGAUUGCAGUCUGCAACUCGACUGCAUGAAGGUGGAAUCGCUAGUAAUCGUGUAUCAGAAUGAUACGGUGAAUACGUUCCCGGGCCUUGUACACACCGCCCGU
RNAcentral lists this ribosomal RNA (498 nucleotides) under uncultured bacterium. Its description in RNAcentral is "partial 16S ribosomal RNA". It matches the Rfam family "Bacterial small subunit ribosomal RNA", at positions 899 to 1397 of the family's 1533-position model. The record is from RNAcentral.